CUGGGUGACACCGUUUGUAGCCAGGGGCAGUGCUGGCCCAGGGCUGUGAGAUGUUCCAGGGCUGCAGAGACUAGUUAAACUUGUUACUGUGCGAACUCUGCCGGCUGUUGCCUUUCCUUGGCUUCCUUCUCAACUCCAUGUGUACAGACCUGCCCCAAAGAGGAAGAUUAGCCCUGAGCUAACUGCUGCCAAUCCUCUUCUUUUUGCUGAGGAAGACUGGCCCUGAGCUCACAUCUGUGCCCAUCUUCCUCUACUUUAUAUGUGGGAUACCUACCACAGCAUGGCGUGCCAAGUGGUGCCAUGUCCGCACCCGGGAUCCAAACUGGCGAACCCCCGGCCACCGAAGUGCAACAUGUGCCCUUAAGCACUGUGCCACGUGGCCGGCCCCUAAAAUCCUUUUAAUUUUAAAAUAUAUCUGGAAUGCAAAUAUUUCUCAUUAUCUCCUCCACUGCGACUCUGGUCCAAGCCACCAUCAUCUCACUCGGAUUAUUGGAACUGCCUCCUCACUGGUCUCCUAUGCAACAGCCAGAGUGACCAUUUAAAACACAAGUCCUUCUUCAGUUCUCAAC
Molecule: long non-coding RNA, 569 nt
Filed under: Equus caballus (horse)
Lineage: Eukaryota; Metazoa; Chordata; Mammalia; Perissodactyla; Equidae
Description: lncRNA (ENSECAG00000052942.1)
Source: RNAcentral